GUUUGAUCAUGGCUCAGAUUGAACGCUGGCGGCAGGCCUAACACAUGCAAGUCGAGCGGCAGCACGGGUACUUGUACCUGGUGGCGAGCGGCGGACGGGUGAGUAAUGCCUAGGAAUCUGCCUGGUAGUGGGGGAUAACGCUCGGAAACGGACGCUAAUACCGCAUACGUCCUACGGGAGAAAGCAGGGGACCUUCGGGCCUUGCGCUAUCAGAUGAGCCUAGGUCGGAUUAGCUAGUUGGUGAGGUAAUGGCUCACCAAGGCGACGAUCCGUAACUGGUCUGAGAGGAUGAUCAGUCACACUGGAACUGAGACACGGUCCAGACUCCUACGGGAGGCAGCAGUGGGGAAUACUGGACAAUGGGCGAAAGCCUGAUCCAGCCAUGCCGCGUGUGUGAAGAAGGUCUUCNGAUUGUAAAGCACUUUAAGUUGGGAGGAAGGGCAUUUACCUAAUACGUAAGUGUUUUGACGUUACCGACAGAAUAAGCACCGGCUAACUCUGUGCCAGCAGCCCCGGUAAUACAGAGGGUGCAAGCGUUAAUC
RNAcentral lists this ribosomal RNA (542 nucleotides) under uncultured bacterium. Its description in RNAcentral is "bacterial SSU rRNA". It matches the Rfam family "Bacterial small subunit ribosomal RNA", at positions 11 to 546 of the family's 1533-position model. The record is from RNAcentral.